AUGGGCGAAAGCCUGAUGCAGCGACGCCGCGUGCGGGACGAAGGCCUUCGGGUCGUAAACCGCUUUCAGCAGGGACGAGGCCGCAAGGUGACGGUACCUGCAGAAGAAGCCCCGGCUAACUACGUGCCAGCAGCCGCGGUAAUACGUAGGGGGCGAGCGUUAUCCGGAUUCAUUGGGCGUAAAGCGCGCGUAGGCGGCCUGCUAGGUCGGGAGUCAAAUCCGGGGGCUCAACCCCCGUCCGCUCCCGAUACCGGCUGGCUUGAGUCUGGUAGGGGAAGGUGGAAUUCCCAGUGUAGCGGUGGAAUGCGCAGAUAUUGGGAAGAACACCGGUGGCGAAGGCGGCCUUCUGGGCCACGACUGACGCUGAGGCGCGAAAGCUAGGGGAGCGAACAGGAUUAGAUACCCUGGUAGUCCUAGCCGUAAACGAUGGACACUAGGUGUGGGCGGAUUGUCCGUCCGUGCCGCAGCCAACGCAUUAAGUGUCCCGCCUGGGGAGUACGGCCGCAAGCUAAAACUCAAAGGAAUUGACGGGGGCCCGCACAAGCAGCGGAGCAUGUGGCUUAAUUCGAAGCAACGCGAAGAACCUUACCAGGGCUUGACAUCUAGGUGAAGCGGCGGA
This 619-nucleotide ribosomal RNA is filed under the name Olsenella profusa. Its description in RNAcentral is "bacterial SSU rRNA". It matches the Rfam family "Bacterial small subunit ribosomal RNA", at positions 371 to 1004 of the family's 1533-position model. The record is from RNAcentral. Lineage: Bacteria; Bacillati; Actinomycetota; Coriobacteriia; Coriobacteriales; Atopobiaceae.